GGAGGUAUUUCCGUUACUCCCACACGCCUUCCUCAGUGAUUUAGUAGUAGUGUUUUGGUUGUCGAGGAACACUGUGUCCGUAUAAACAUCAUGAUGAAUCUCGGCUCCUAAAGCUGCACCUCCAGUCACCAGUCCGUCAAGCUCCUGAAGUUUGGGGAUGACACCAACCUCAUUGGACUGAUCUCUGGUGGGGAUGAGUCCGCCUACAGGUGGGAGUCUGACCAUCUGGUGUCGUGGUGCAGCCAGAACAACCUGGAGCUCAACGCUCUAAAGACAGUGGAGAUGGUUGUGGAUUUCGGGCGGAACAGAGCUCCACCUUCCCCCAUUACUCUGUGUGACUCCCCCGUCACUAUUGUGGACUCUUCUGUUUCCUGGGCUCCAUCAUCACCCAGGACCUCAAGUGGGAGCUGAACAUCAGCUCCAUCACAAAGAAGGCUCAGCAGAGGUUGUUCUUCCUGAGGCCUCUGAAGCAAGCCAAAAAGAUCGUAGCCGACCCCUCUCACCCCGGACACAAACUGUUUGUGCCCCUUCCAUCUGACAGGAGGUUGAGGUCCAUCAGGACUAACACCUCCCGCCACACGAACAGUUUCUUCCCGUCGGCAGUCGGGCUCAUCAACAAAGCCCGGUCCCCCAAUGACUGACUAUAACAUUCACUCUGCUUCAUACUGCACGUCACUUUAACUGUCAUUUUUCACUUUGUCGUCACUUGUCACUUUGUUACUUGUUCGCUAGUGCACUUUAUGCUUAAUACUUUUUUAAUAUUUUAAAUUUUUAACUCUAACUUUAUUCUCUUGUUUUAUACUAAUCCAUAGCCUUAUUCUACUAACCCAUUGCAUUAGCAUUUCAUUUUACCUUAUUUUAUUACUUGUGCACUGCUGCCUUGUUGUCUAUUGUUACACUGUCUACUGUCACGCACCAACCGCCAAG
Gasterosteus aculeatus aculeatus (three-spined stickleback) is the source of this 927-nucleotide long non-coding RNA. The record is from Ensembl. Lineage: Eukaryota; Metazoa; Chordata; Actinopteri; Perciformes; Gasterosteidae.